Molecule: ribosomal RNA, 134 nt
Filed under: Nematostella vectensis (starlet sea anemone)
Lineage: Eukaryota; Metazoa; Cnidaria; Anthozoa; Actiniaria; Edwardsiidae
Description: 5.8S ribosomal RNA
Rfam family: 5.8S ribosomal RNA
About the family: 5.8S ribosomal RNA (5.8S rRNA) is a component of the large subunit of the eukaryotic ribosome. It is transcribed by RNA polymerase I as part of the 45S precursor that also contains 18S and 28S rRNA.
Source: Rfam by way of RNAcentral
CUUGGCUCGUGCAUCGAUGAGGAUCCCCCCAGGUGCGAUAAGUAGUGUGAAUUGCAGAAUUCAGUGAAUCAUCGAAUCUUUGAACGCAAAUCGCGCUCUUGGGUUUUCCCAGGAGCAUGUCUGUCUGAGUGUCG